This 72-nucleotide transfer RNA is filed under the name Ovis aries (sheep). It matches the Rfam family "tRNA". Rfam says of the family: Transfer RNA (tRNA) molecules are approximately 80 nucleotides in length. Their secondary structure includes four short double-helical elements and three loops (D, anti-codon, and T loops). Lineage: Eukaryota; Metazoa; Chordata; Mammalia; Artiodactyla; Bovidae. The record is from Rfam by way of RNAcentral.
UCCCUAGUAGCUCAGCUGGUAAAGAAUCCACCUGCAGAAUGGGAGACCUGGGUUCAAUCCCUAGGUUGGGAA